AAUUUAACUGUGCAAUUCAGUUUAAUUUGAUAUUUUAAUUCUUACUUAUUUUAAUUAAAUAAUUUUGAGAAAUAUC
This 76-nucleotide transfer RNA is filed under the name Neodythemis africana. RNAcentral describes it as "tRNA-Val". Lineage: Eukaryota; Metazoa; Arthropoda; Insecta; Odonata; Libellulidae. The record is from RNAcentral.